Molecule: non-coding RNA, 252 nt
Organism: Paramuricea clavata
Lineage: Eukaryota; Metazoa; Cnidaria; Anthozoa; Malacalcyonacea; Plexauridae
Source: the annotation of a GenBank genome assembly
GCAAAAUUUUCGUGCAAUAUAAAUACCUGCCCCGUAUGACCCUGUCGUACCAUAAAACCUACAGAUAAAAAAUAGAGAGCAGUAGAACUGUAGUAAACUCCAAUACAACACCAUUUACUAAACUGAUUUCAACAUAAACAUGUACAUUGGAACAGCUGUUGACUCAAUAAAUGGUAAAGAAUAUAUAAAUUACGAUACAUGUACAUAGGGCAUAGUUGCCAACUCUCACGGAUUCACCAUGAGCAUCACAGA